ACACCUUCAUCGCCACCAGCGACAUUCACAUGCAGCAUAAGCUCAGGAAGACGCCCGACCAGGUGGUCACCAUUGCCAGGGAGAUGGUGGCUUACGCCCGCAGCCUCGGAUGCACUGACGUCGAGUUCAGCCCCGAGGACGCCGGCAGGUCAAAUAGAGAGUUCUUGUAUCAUAUUCUAGGGGAAGUCAUAAAAGCUGGAGCUACGACUCUCAAUAUCCCGGACACUGUCGGAUACAAUCUUCCUUAUGAAUUUGGAAAGUUGAUUGCUGAUAUAAGGGCAAACACUCCUGGAAUUGAAAAGGCUAUCAUUUCCACUCAUUGUCAGAAUGACCUUGGUCUUGCGACUGCCAACACACUUGCGGGCGCUCGUGCAGGAGCACGACAGUUAGAGGUUAAUUGGUGAAAGGGCUGGAAAUGCUUCUUUGGAGGAGGUUGUCAUGGCAAUUAAAUGCCGCAGAGAACUGUUAGAUGGUCUCUAUACUGGAAUCGAUUCCCGACAUAUCACUUUGACGAGCAAAAUGGUGCAAGAGCAUAGUGGACUUCACGUGCAGCCACAUAAAGCUAUUGUUGGUGCCAAUGUGUUCGCUCAUGAAAGUGGAAUUCAUUAGGUAAGCAU
Long non-coding RNA from Zea mays, 617 nucleotides. RefSeq lists it as uncharacterized. The record is from RefSeq and is a predicted model, not a curated record. The transcript has 5 exons. Lineage: Eukaryota; Viridiplantae; Streptophyta; Magnoliopsida; Poales; Poaceae.